This 749-nucleotide ribosomal RNA is filed under the name Mesodontrachia fitzroyana. RNAcentral describes it as "partial 16S ribosomal RNA". Lineage: Eukaryota; Metazoa; Mollusca; Gastropoda; Stylommatophora; Camaenidae. RNAcentral also lists the same sequence under 1 other name. The record is from RNAcentral.
CACGAAAAUAGUUGAGCUAAAUAAUUGUAAUUAUUAGAUUGUCAUAUGUAGCAUAAUAAAAACAAAUAAUUAUUUAGGGGUGAUAGGCUUGUCAAAACUAUAGAUAUCUUGAUUCUUUUUAAAAACAUUUAGUGUAAUGUCAACUAAGAAAUGAUAAGGUUUUUUAGUAGUAUGAAUAUGUCUUAACAGUUUAAAUCUUAACUUAAUCGUUAGAUUUUACCUACAUUAAAUUAUUAAUUUACAAUAUAUUGUGGCUUAUAUAAAGAAAUAUUUAAACUGUUUAAAUAAUUUAAAAUGUAACUAUAAGUAACUUGUAUAAAUACAAAAAAUGAACUCGGCAAAUGCCUUUCAACUGUUUACCAAAAACAUAGCUAUGUGUAAUUAUUCAUAGUAAUUUCUGCUCAAUGAAAACUUAAAUAGCCGCAGUACCCUGACUGUGCAAAGGUAGCGAAAUAAUUUGGCUUAUAAUUGAAGUCCCGUAUAAAUGAAAAUUUGGGGGGCAUCUUUAUUCUUUGUAGAACUUGAAAUUACUAAUUAAGUGUAAAUUCUUAUAUUUAAAUGAUAGACGAGAAGACCCUAGAAAUUUUUAUAAAUUGUAGUUAAUCUUUUUGUUGGGGCAACAAGGUAACAUAAAAUUUACCUUUAAUAACAAGAACAUUUAUGUGAUAGAAUAAAUUACUCUAGGGAUAACAGCGUAAUUUAUAAAAGUUUGCGACCUCGAUGUUGGACUAGGGAACUGUUGUUUAGAA